GUGAGGAAUAUUGCGCAAUGGAGGCAACUCUGACGCAGCCAUGCCGCGUGCAGGAAGAAGGCGCUACGCGUUGUAACCUGCUUUUAACCGGGAAGAAACCCCAGGACGUGUCCUGGGUUGACGGUACCGGAGCAAUAAGCACCGGCUAACUUCGUGCCAGCAGCCGCGGUAAUACGAAGGGUGCAAGUGUUAACCGGAUUCAUUGGGUUUAAAGGGUGCGUAGGCGGAGCGUUAAGUCAGUGGUGAAAUCCUGCAGCUUAACUGUAGACUUGCAAGUGAUACUGGCGCGCUUGAGUGCAGUUGAAGUGGGCGGAAUGUGCCGUGUAGCGGUGAAAUGCUUAGAUAUGGCACAGAACACCAAUUGCGAAGGCAGCUCACUAAGGCGAUACUGACGCUGAGGCACGAAAGCGUGGGGAUCGAACAGGAUUAGAAACCCGUGUAGUCC
This 445-nucleotide ribosomal RNA is filed under the name uncultured bacterium. Its description in RNAcentral is "partial 16S ribosomal RNA". It matches the Rfam family "Bacterial small subunit ribosomal RNA", at positions 354 to 796 of the family's 1533-position model. The record is from RNAcentral.